UACAGAGGUCCCCAGCGUUGUUCGGAUUCACUGGGCGUAAAGGGUGCGUAGGCGGUUUGAUCCGUCUGAUGUGAAAUCCCGCCGCUUAACUGCGGAACUGCAUUGGAAACUAUUUGACUAGAGGAAUGGAGGGGAGACUGGAAUACUUGGUGUAGCAGUGAAAUGCGUAGAUAUCACGUGGAACACCAGUGGCGAAGGCGAGUCUCUGGACAUUUCCUGACGCUGAGGCACGAAAGCCAGGGGAGCAAACGGG
This 253-nucleotide ribosomal RNA is filed under the name uncultured bacterium. Its description in RNAcentral is "partial 16S ribosomal RNA". It matches the Rfam family "Bacterial small subunit ribosomal RNA", at positions 524 to 776 of the family's 1533-position model. The record is from RNAcentral.